GUUAAAAAGCUCGUAGUUGGAUUUCUGCGUCGGGACACGCAAUGCGUGGCCAUAACGGCCUAGCAUCAGCGGGUUCUUGCGCUUUUUGCCUUUAACUUCGCUGGCCUUCGCUGGUCGGCGCUGGGGACGGGCUCGUUUACUUUGAGAAAAAUAGAGUGUUCAAAGCAGGCUUUGCGCCUUGAAUAACUUAGCAUGGAAUAAUAACAAAGGACCUUGGUUCCUGUUGUUGGUGUUCGGUACCUCGGUAAUGAUUGAUAGGGACAGUUGGGGGCGUCAGUAUUCCGAGGUCAGAGGUGAAAUUCAUAGAUUCUCGGAAGACUAGCAGAUGCGAAAGCGUUCGCCAUGGAUGUACUCUUUGAUCAAGAACGAAAGUUGGGGGAUCGAAGACGAUCAGAUACCGUCGUAGUCUCAACUAAAAACUAUACCAGCUAGGGAUCGGGCAACGCCGCAAUCCAGAAGGCUUGCUCGGCACCUUAUGAGAAAUCAAAGCAUUUGGGUUCCGGGGGGAGUAUGGUCGCAAGGCUGAAACUUAAAGGAAUUGACGGAAGGGCACCACCAGGUGUGGAGCCUGUGGCUUAAUUUGACUCAAC
This 590-nucleotide ribosomal RNA is filed under the name uncultured marine eukaryote. Its description in RNAcentral is "bacterial SSU rRNA". It matches the Rfam family "Eukaryotic small subunit ribosomal RNA", at positions 618 to 1204 of the family's 1831-position model. The record is from RNAcentral.